RNAcentral lists this ribosomal RNA (468 nucleotides) under uncultured bacterium. RNAcentral describes it as "partial 16S ribosomal RNA". It matches the Rfam family "Bacterial small subunit ribosomal RNA", at positions 28 to 507 of the family's 1533-position model. The record is from RNAcentral.
GACGAACGCUGGCGGCGUGCUUAACACAUGCAAGUCGAACGGAAAGGCCCCUCUUUUGUGGGGUGCUCGAGUGGCGAACGGGUGAGUAACACGAGAGUAACCUGCCCUGGACUUUGGGUAAACUUCAGGGAACUUAGGCUAAUACCGGAUAGGAGCUCCAGCUGCAUGGUGGGGGUUGGCAAGCUCCGGUGGUUGGGGUUGGUUGUGCGGCUUAUCAGCUUGUUGGUGGAGUAGUGGCUUACCAAGUCUUUGAGGGGUAGUCGGCCUUAGAGGGUGAACGGCGACAUUGCUACUGAGAGACGGCCCAGACGGGAACGGUGGGCAGCAGUGGGGAGUCUGGCACAGCGGGGCGACGCCUGAUACGAAGACGCUGGGGGUGGGAUGACGUCUUUUGGGUUGCAAACCGCUUUCUUCUGAUACGAAGCGGUCAUGACGGUAACGGGUAAAGAAGCACCGGCUAACUACGUG